This 265-nucleotide long non-coding RNA is filed under the name Musa acuminata (dwarf banana). RNAcentral describes it as "long non-coding RNA (MACU_LNC002747)". Lineage: Eukaryota; Viridiplantae; Streptophyta; Magnoliopsida; Zingiberales; Musaceae. The record is from RNAcentral.
CCAAAGUCACGAAGUUUCCCCCCACGAUGUGGACAUGGAGUUUGAGGACCGGAUAAAGUGCCUUUGUUCUCUUCCCAAGGUUUUGUCAUCAUCAAACACAGGGAAGCCGAUAACUACAUGCCUGGAAUAGAACUACACCUUUACAUAUCGAUAGCCAUGGCUUUCUCUCUUUACCUACUAACUUGCUUGCUAUAUAACUCCUCCACACGUCCACAUGCAUCCACUUACUUUUCUCUCUCUGCAGUCUGCACGCAUCAGCCUUUCA